UAGAAAAUAAAAAGUUGAAAAAUGAAGUCCUUGAGUUGAAAAAUUCUCUUUCAAAAUUUUUAAAAGGCAAGGACAAACUUGAUGAAAUUUUAGACUCUCAAAGGUCUCCUAGCAUCAAGUAUGGCCUUGGCUAUGAUAAAUCAACUCAAGCAAACUUUUCUAAAACCGUUUUUGUUAAAGCUACUAACUCACAUGAACCUAAGGUUUCUAGCUCAAAUGGAAAUGUGCCUAAAGCCUCUACUAGUAAUAUGUCUAUGAGAAAUGCACAUGUACACCAAUCCACUAGUUACAACACUCAUAUAAGACACACAC
RNAcentral lists this long non-coding RNA (312 nucleotides) under Manihot esculenta (cassava). Its description in RNAcentral is "long non-coding RNA (MESC_LNC012879)". Lineage: Eukaryota; Viridiplantae; Streptophyta; Magnoliopsida; Malpighiales; Euphorbiaceae. The record is from RNAcentral.